AAAUUGAAGAGUUUGAUCAUGGCUCAGAUUGAACGCUGGCGGCAGGCUUAACACAUGCAAGUCGAACGGUAACAUGAGUGCUUGCACUUGAUGACGAGUGGCGGACGGGUGAGUAAUGUAUGGGGAUCUGCCGAAUGGAUUGGGACAACAGUUGGAAACGACUGCUAAUACCGAAUAAUGUCGCGAGACCAAAGGGUGCUUCCGGGCACUUGCCAUUUGAUGAACCCAUAUGAGAUUAGCUAGUUGGUGGGGUAAAGGCUCACCAAGGCGACGAUCUCUAGCUGGUCUGAGAGGAUGACCAGCCACACUGGAACUGAGACACGGUCCAGACUCCUACGGGAGGCAGCAGUGGGGAAUAUUGCACAAUGGGGGAAACCCUGAUGCAGCCAUGCCGCGUGUAUGAAGAAGGCCUUAGGGUUGUAAAGUACUUUCGGUGAUGAGGAAGUUAUGUGUGGGAUAAGCACAUAUAAUUGACGUUAGUUACAGAAGAAGCACCGGCUAACUCCGUGCCAGCAGCCGCGGUAAUACGGAGGGUGCGAGCGUUAAUCGGAAUGACUGGGCGUAAAGGGCAUGUAGGCGGAUGAUUAAGUUAGGUGUGAAAGCCUCGGGCUCAACCUGAGAAUAGCAUUUAAAACUGGUGAUCUGGAGUACUGUAGAGGGAGGUAGAAUUCCACGUGUAGCGGUGAAAUGCGUAGAGAUGUGGAGGAAUACCGGUGGCGAAGGCGGCCUUCUGGACAGAUACUGACGCUGAGAUGCGAAAGCGUGGGGAGCAAACAGGAUUAGAUACCCUGGUAGUCCACGCUGUAAACGAUGUCGAUUUGGAGUUUGUUGCCUAGAGUGAUGGGCUCCGAAGCUAACGCGAUAAAUCGACCGCCUGGGGAGUACGGCCGCAAGGUUAAAACUCAAAUGAAUUGACGGGGGCCCGCACAAGCGGUGGAGCAUGUGGUUUAAUUCGAUGCAACGCGAAGAACCUUACCUGGUCUUGACAUCCACAGAAUCUUUCAGAGAUGAGGGAGUGCCUUCGGGAACUGUGAGACAGGUGCUGCAUGGCUGUCGUCAGCUCGUGUUGUGAAAUGUUGGGUUAAGUCCCGCAACGAGCGCAACCCUUAUCCUUUGUUGCCAGCGAUUAGGUCGGGAACUCAAAGGAGACUGCCGUUGAUAAAACGGAGGAAGGUGGGGACGACGUCAAGUCAUCAUGGCCCUUACGACCAGGGCUACACACGUGCUACAAUGGCGUAUACAAAGGGAAGCGAAGGUGCGAGCUGGAGCGGACCUCCUAAAGUACGUCUAAGUCCGGAUUGGAGUCUGCAACUCGACUCCAUGAAGUCGGAAUCGCUAGUAAUCGUGAAUCAGAAUGUCACGGUGAAUACGUUCCCGGGCCUUGUACACACCGCCCGUCACACCAUGGGAGUGGGUUGCACCAGAAGUAGAUAGCUUAACCGCAAGGGGGGCGUUUACCACGGUGUGAUUCAUGACUGGGGUGAAGUCGUAACAAGGUAACCGUAGGGGAACCUGCGGUUGGAUCACCUCCUUA
RNAcentral lists this ribosomal RNA (1534 nucleotides) under Frischella perrara. RNAcentral describes it as "Bacterial small subunit ribosomal RNA". It matches the Rfam family "Bacterial small subunit ribosomal RNA". The record is from Rfam by way of RNAcentral. Lineage: Bacteria; Pseudomonadati; Pseudomonadota; Gammaproteobacteria; Orbales; Orbaceae.